GACGAACGCUGGCGGCGUGCCUAACACAUGCAAGUCGAACGGGGUGAUUUCUUCGGAGAUCACUUAGUGGCGAACGGGUGAGUAACGCGUGAGAAACCUGCCUUUCAGUGGGGGACAACAGUUGGAAACGACUGCUAAUACCGCAUAAUGUUAUUUGGGGGCAUCCCCGAAUAACCAAAGAUUUAUUGCUGAAAGAUGGUCUCGCGUCUGAUUAGCUAGUUGGUGAGGUAACGGCUCACCAAGGCGACGAUCAGUAGCCGGUCUGAGAGGAUGAACGGCCACAUUGGGACUGAGAUACGGCCCAGACUCCUACGGGAGGCAGCAGUGGGGAAUAUUGGGCAAUGGGGGAAACCCUGACCCAGCAACGCCGCGUGAAGGAAGAAGGCC
RNAcentral lists this ribosomal RNA (387 nucleotides) under uncultured bacterium. RNAcentral describes it as "bacterial SSU rRNA". It matches the Rfam family "Bacterial small subunit ribosomal RNA", at positions 28 to 416 of the family's 1533-position model. The record is from RNAcentral.